UUCAACCCCUUGUCUAACCACCUGUUGCUUCCGGCCCUUUGGACUGUAUAGUUAGCUGUAUAGCCUGGCCGGAAGGCUAACAUAAAAUAUUGUAUUUAGAGUCUUCUGAAUUUUAAAAUAAAAGUUAAAACUUUCAACAACGGAUCUCUUGGUUCUCGCAUCGAUGAAGAACGCAGCGAAAUGCGAUAAGUAGUGUGAAUUGCAGAAUUCAGUGAAUCAUCGAAUCUUUGAACGCACAUUGCGCCUUCCGGUAUUCCGGAAGGCAUGCCUGUCCGAGCGUCAUCAAAAACCACUCAAGUAGUUUUGCUUGGUUAUGAAAGAAGAGUUUGCUUGCGAAUUCCCUUUCGAAAUUCAAUGGCGGAGGGUCUCAUGAUUCCGGCGUAGUAAUAACUUAUUCGCUUGGUCAUUGUGACAAUCCUGCCUCAAACCCCCAAUUCUAGUGUUUGACCUCGGAUCACGUAGGGAUACCCGCUGAACUUAAGCAUAUCAAUAAGCGGAGGAAAAGAAACCAACAGGGAUUGCCUUAAUAACUGCGAGUGAAGCGGCAAAAGCUCAAAUUUGAAAUCUGGUACCUUCGGUACC
This 582-nucleotide ribosomal RNA is filed under the name uncultured Ascomycota. RNAcentral's name for it is "eukaryotic LSU rRNA". The stretch from base 129 to 282 matches the Rfam family "5.8S ribosomal RNA". Lineage: Eukaryota; Fungi; Ascomycota. The record is from RNAcentral.